Long non-coding RNA from Ahaetulla prasina, 539 nucleotides. RefSeq lists it as uncharacterized. NCBI's taxonomy places the organism in Eukaryota, Metazoa, Chordata, Lepidosauria, Squamata, Colubridae. The record is from RefSeq and is a predicted model, not a curated record. The transcript has 5 exons.
UUUCCCUUCCUUUCUCUUUUUUAAACAAACAUCUAAACAUCUUUCAUCUUCCUAUAGCCUUUGAUCUGGGAGCAAAGGUCUUAUUGAUGUUGUUCUUAAUUCUUUUGCGUCAGAUCAGGAACAUGGACAACAGGAUCAAAACUGUGGACAUGAAGGGCACUGGAUCUUGGAUAUGAAGGAAGAACUGCAGAUGUUUGUCCUCCUGAAACGGGGAAAGGAGUAACCGAUGUCUGACUUGUCUUCAGAGAUCAAAAGUCUUUCUUAGAUUUCAGAAAAGGAAAACCACUUCAAUAGCCCCUUGGAAUGUGUCUUAAGGCUACAGAUUUCAGAAAUCCAAAACUGUAGAGUUGCAGCCAAUAUGUACUGUGCAGUUGUCGUACACGAUUUCUUACCUGCUGCUUGGCUCUGUUAAUGGUGAUUGGACAACUGACUUCCUGCAUACCAACGAUGUAUCCAAUCCUGAGAGAGUCCUGAUUGGAAGUAAUGACAACAUUUCCUGUUCAAGAUAAUGAGCCAAAUUAUAAUUUCUUGCUAUUAAU